UUCUUCGGAAUGGAAAUUGAUAUUCCAGCGGCGGACGGGUGAGUAACGCGUGAGCAAUCUGUCCCAGACAGGGGGAUAACAGAUGGAAACAUCUGCUAAUACCGCAUAAGACCACGAGAGGACAUCCUCUUGGGGUAAAAGGAGCAAUCUGGUUUGGGGUGAGCUCGCGUCCGAUUAGCUAGUUGGCGAGGUAACGGCCCACCAAGGCGACGAUCGGUAGCCGACCUGAGAGGGUGAUCGGCCACAUUGGAACUGAGACACGGUCCAAACUCC
RNAcentral lists this ribosomal RNA (273 nucleotides) under uncultured Eubacteriales bacterium. RNAcentral's name for it is "uncultured Clostridiales bacterium partial 16S ribosomal RNA". It matches the Rfam family "Bacterial small subunit ribosomal RNA", at positions 76 to 339 of the family's 1533-position model. Lineage: Bacteria; Bacillati; Bacillota; Clostridia; Eubacteriales. The record is from RNAcentral.